RNAcentral lists this ribosomal RNA (514 nucleotides) under uncultured bacterium. RNAcentral's name for it is "bacterial SSU rRNA". It matches the Rfam family "Bacterial small subunit ribosomal RNA", at positions 15 to 518 of the family's 1533-position model. The record is from RNAcentral.
GAUCAUGGCUCAGAACGAACGCUGGCGGCGCGUCUUAAGCAUGCAAGUCGAACGGCAAGAGGUAGCAAUACCUCCUAGAGUGGCGGACUGGUGAGUAACACGUGGGUGACAUACCCUUCAGAUGGGGAUAGCUAUUAGAAAUAGUAGAUAAUACCGAAUACGAGCACAGGGGUUAGAGAUCUGUGAGGAAAGGAGCUAAGGCUCCGCUGAAGGAAUGGCCUGCGGCCCAUUAGCUAGUUGGUGAGGUAAGAGCCCACCAAGGCGAUGAUGGGUAUCCGGCCUUAGAGGGUGAACGGACACAUUGGGACUGAGAUACGGCCCAGACUCCUACGGGAGGCAGCAGCUAAGAAUAUUCCGCAAUGGACGAAAGUCUGACGGAGCGACGCCGCGUGGAUGAAGAAGGCCGGAAGGUUGUAAAAUCCUUUUGAAACUGAAGAAUAAGCGUUGUAGGGAAUGACAGCGUGGUGACAGUAGGUUUUGAAUAAGCAACGGCUAAUUACGUGCCAGCCGCCGC